Molecule: transfer RNA, 73 nt
Organism: Crocosphaera watsonii WH 8501
Lineage: Bacteria; Bacillati; Cyanobacteriota; Cyanophyceae; Chroococcales; Aphanothecaceae
Rfam family: tRNA
About the family: Transfer RNA (tRNA) molecules are approximately 80 nucleotides in length. Their secondary structure includes four short double-helical elements and three loops (D, anti-codon, and T loops). Further hydrogen bonds mediate the characteristic L-shaped molecular structure. tRNAs have two regions of fundamental functional importance: the anti-codon, which is responsible for specific mRNA codon recognition, and the 3' end, to which the tRNAs corresponding amino acid is attached (by aminoacyl-tRNA synthetases). tRNAs cope with the degeneracy of the genetic code in two manners: having more than one tRNA (with a specific anti-codon) for a particular amino acid; and 'wobble' base-pairing, i.e. permitting non-standard base-pairing at the 3rd anti-codon position.
Source: Rfam
GGGUGUGUAGCUCAAUGGAUAGAGCAACAGCCUUCUAAGCUGUCGGUUACAGGUUCGAGUCCUGUCACACCCG